CCUACGGGGGGCUGCAGUGGGGAAUAUUGGACAAUGGGCGAAAGCCUGAUCCAGCCAUGCCGCGUGUGUGAAGAAGGCCUUCGGGUUGUAAAGCACUUUCAGUGGGGAAGAAAGCCUUGGGGCUAAUACCCUCGAGGAAGGACAUCACCCACAGAAGAAGCACCGGCUAACUCCGUGCCAGCAGCCGCGGUAAUACGGAGGGUGCGAGCGUUAAUCGGAAUUACUGGGCGUAAAGCGCGCGUAGGCGGUCUGAUAAGCCGGUUGUGAAAGCCCCGGGCUCAACCUGGGAACGGCAUCCGGAACUGUCAGGCUAGAGUGCAGGAGAGGAAGGUAGAAUUCCCGGUGUAGCGGUGAAAUGCGUAGAGAUCGGGAGGAAUACCAGUGGCGAAGGCGGCCUUCUGGACUGACACUGACGCUGAGGUGCGAAAGCGUGGGUAGCAAACAGGACUAGAUACCCCGGUAGUC
This 465-nucleotide ribosomal RNA is filed under the name Vreelandella stevensii. RNAcentral describes it as "partial 16S ribosomal RNA". It matches the Rfam family "Bacterial small subunit ribosomal RNA", at positions 338 to 795 of the family's 1533-position model. Lineage: Bacteria; Pseudomonadati; Pseudomonadota; Gammaproteobacteria; Oceanospirillales; Halomonadaceae. The record is from RNAcentral.